Molecule: ribosomal RNA, 301 nt
Filed under: uncultured bacterium
Lineage: Bacteria
Description: partial 16S ribosomal RNA
Rfam family: Bacterial small subunit ribosomal RNA
Source: RNAcentral
CAGCCGCCGCGGUAAUACGAAGGGUGCAAGCGUUACUCGGAAUUACUGGGCGUAAAGCGUGCGUAGGUGGUGGUUUAAGUCCGUUGUGAAAGCCCUGGGCUCAACCUGGGAAUUGCAGUGGAUACUGGAUCACUAGAGUGUGGUAGAGGAUAGUGGAAUUUCCGGUGUAGCAGUGAAAUGCGUAGAGAUCGGAAGGAACAUCUGUGGCGAAGGCGACUAUCUGGGCCAACACUGACACUGAGGCACGAAAGCGUGGGGAGCAAACAGGAUUAGAGACCCCCGUAGUCCCUGUCUCUUAUAC